RNAcentral lists this ribosomal RNA (499 nucleotides) under uncultured bacterium. Its description in RNAcentral is "partial 16S ribosomal RNA". It matches the Rfam family "Bacterial small subunit ribosomal RNA", at positions 28 to 507 of the family's 1533-position model. The record is from RNAcentral.
GACGAACGCUGGCGGCGUGCCUAAUACAUGCAAGUCGAGCGAAGUUUUUCUGGUGCUUGCACUAGAAAAACUUAGCGGCGAACGGGUGAGUAACACGUAAAGAACCUGCCUCAUAGACUGGGACAACUAUUGGAAACGAUAGCUAAUACCGGAUAACAGUACUUCUCGCAUGAGAGAUAUUUAAAAGUUGGUUAUGCUAACACUAUGAGAUGGCUUUGCGGUGCAUUAGCUAGUUGGUGGGGUAAAGGCCCACCAAGGCGACGAUGCAUAGCCGACCUGAGAGGGUGAUCGGCCACACUGGGACUGAGACACGGCCCAGACUCCUACGGGAGGCAGCAGUAGGGAAUCUUCCGCAAUGGGCGAAAGCCUGACGGAGCAACGCCGCGUGAGUGAAGAAGGAUUUCGGUUCGUAAAGCUCUGUUGUUAGGGAAGAAUGGAUAUGUAGUAACUAUACAUGUAAGAGACGGUACCUAACCAGAAAGCCACGGCUAACUACGUG